UGGGGAAUCUUGGACAAUGGGCGCAAGCCUGAUCCAGCCAUGCCGCGUGAGUGAUGAAGGCCUUAGGGUUGUAAAGCCCUUUUGCCGGGGACGAUAAUGACGGUACCCGGAGAAUAAGUCCCGGCUAACUUCGUGCCAGCAGCCGCGGUAAUACGAAGGGGACUAGCGUUGUUCGGAAUCACUGGGCGUAAAGCGCACGUAGGCGGAUUUGUAAGCCAGGGGUGAAAUCCCGGGGCUCAACCUCGGAACUGCCUUUGAUACUGCGGAUCUCGAGUCCGAUAGAGGUGAGUGGAAUUCCUAGUGUAGAGGUGAAAUUCGUAGAUAUUAGGAAGAACACCGGUGGCGAAGGCGGCUCACUGGAUCGGUACUGACGCUGAGGUGCGAAAGCGUGGGGAGCAAACAGGAUUAGAUACCCUAGUAGUCCCUGAGCGGGCUGGCAAGGCGCAU
Molecule: ribosomal RNA, 447 nt
Filed under: uncultured bacterium
Lineage: Bacteria
Description: bacterial SSU rRNA
Rfam family: Bacterial small subunit ribosomal RNA
Source: RNAcentral